GGGGAUGACUGGCUUCGACGGUUGAGGCUGGUUGCACAUUGCGAGCCGAGAGGCGCCGACCUCGUUAACUCAGCGCAAACUUUAAGUGCCAAAAGCACUGACUACGCAGCUCUGCCGCUCGCCGCGUAACACCGGUUAGCUAAGAACUGUCCGGCUCCUCGAGAGCCGCGUCUGCCCCGCCCUCCCUCCGGCUGGGUGGGAGCAGGCGAGACAAUGCCGGAGUGCCGCGCCCGACCCCGUUACCGGCGCGAAAGACCUAACGGGUGGCCGCGUGAGCCCCCUUGUCGUUUGUGGGUCACGCGGUGACAAACACAACCGACUACGCUCGUAGACGUGUGCAAACCUAAUCAGUCGGACGCGGGUUCGAUUCCCGCCAUCUCCACCU
RNAcentral lists this transfer-messenger RNA (385 nucleotides) under Anaerolineales. RNAcentral's name for it is "JAMCZK01 sp019637805 Standard tmRNA". It matches the Rfam family "transfer-messenger RNA". From Rfam's summary of the family: Bacterial tmRNA, also known as 10Sa RNA or SsrA, is named for its dual tRNA and mRNA-like properties. The record is from RNAcentral. Lineage: Bacteria; Bacillati; Chloroflexota; Anaerolineae. RNAcentral also lists the same sequence under 1 other name.